UUGGUCAGGUGAGUGGCGAACGGGUGAGUAACACGUGGGUAACCUACCUCAUAGUGGGGGAUAACAGUCGGAAACGACUGCUAAUACCGCAUAGGACAUGGGAUCACAUGAUUCCGUGAGGAAAGGUGGCGCAAGCUAUCGCUAAGAGAUGGACCCGCGGUGCAUUAGCUAGUUGGUAGGGUAAGGGCCUACCAAGGCGAUGAUGCAUAGCCGACCUGAGAGGGUGAUCGGCCACAUUGGGACUGAGACACGGCCCAAACUCCUACGGGAGGCAGCAGUAGGGAAUCUUCCGCAAUGGACGCAAGUCUGACGGAGCAACGCCGCGUGAGUGAAGAAGGUCUUCGGAUCGUAAAGCUCUGUUGUUAGAGAAGAACAGCGCAUAGAGUAACUGUUAUGCGUGUGACGGUAUCUAACCAGAAAGCCACGGCUAACUACGUGCCAGCAGCCGCGGUAAUACGUAGGUGGCGAGCGUUGUCCGGAUUUAUUGGGCGUAAAGGGAGUGUAGGCGGUCUUUUAAGUCUGAUGUGAAAGCCCACGGCUCAACCGUGGAGGGUCAUUGGAAACUGGGAGACUUGAGUGCAGAAGAAGAGAGCGGAAUUCCAUGUGUAGCGGUGAAAUGCGUAGAUAUAUGGAGGAACACCAGUGGCGAAGGCGGCUCUCUGGUCUGUAACUGACGCUGAGGCUCGAAAGCGUGGGGAGCAAACAGGAUUAGAUACCCUGGUAGUCCACGCCGUAAACGAUGAGUGCUAAGUGUUGGA
RNAcentral lists this ribosomal RNA (758 nucleotides) under uncultured bacterium. Its description in RNAcentral is "bacterial SSU rRNA". It matches the Rfam family "Bacterial small subunit ribosomal RNA", at positions 83 to 827 of the family's 1533-position model. The record is from RNAcentral.